RNAcentral lists this long non-coding RNA (600 nucleotides) under Accipiter nisus (Eurasian sparrowhawk). RNAcentral describes it as "lncRNA (ENSANIG00000005491.1)". Lineage: Eukaryota; Metazoa; Chordata; Aves; Accipitriformes; Accipitridae. The record is from RNAcentral.
CUGAUGUUUAAAAAGGCCUAAAGGAAAGAGGACUGGCACUUCUGUUACAAUGUUUUAAGGCAUUCAAGUGCUGCGACUGCUGUGGUAGGAAGAGGUGGGACUGACCGAAAGCAACCAACUUGUGGCAUGCCAUCUCUUGGUUAAUAUGGCCUGUGGAGGGACCCCACCUCUUGCUUAUUUACUGGUGCCAUAAAUGUUGCUGAGGUUGCAUGUCUGGUUGGACUUGAUGCAUGGCAUUUGCAUGACACCUAACAGCCUAGCUCUGGAUGUGUCACUGAGCAAACAUGGCCUACUCAGCAAAUACUAACGGCAGUGCUACAGGUAACUAAUUGGGAACGCUUUUCCCCCUUUGGAUUAUUAAUUUUUUUUAAAAAAACUUAUUUCUUAAAUUGUAAAAGUAGCACAAAAGGGAAGUAGCUGCAGUUAAACUAAAUACUGAAAACUAAUUUCCUGGUAGAUCAGAGCCUGUCUGUUCCCCCACUACCAUCCCUGAUAACCUUUUACAUAUCUGAAGUGUGGAAAGUUGUUUGCAAAGAUGUAAGGGCUGGCAUUCAGUCGUUCAGCAUGCAGCACUCUCUGCUUUGAAGGACCUACACUGGC